UGCUCACUGGGCUCUAGUAGCUCACCCCACUCCCUUUAUCCCCAGAGUUGCAGGUACAGGAUAGAUCGGGAAGUCGGCUAGAGUGAAGUAAAGUCAUGUAUGAUGUAAUAGAUAGUAGUGGACAUGAAUAUGAUGUAAUGAGUAUUUAUGACUAUGUUAAUGUAAUGAAAGAGUAAUGUAUAGUCAUGUAAUGAUGAGGAUGAUUGAGGACUAGUAUGUGCUUGACCCUAUGUUAUGGUUAUCCCCUUGACACAUGAUCUAUAGAAAUGUUUUUAUGAUGUAUUUGAUAAUCCAAGCUUAUCGAAUGAUGAGAUACCCCAUUGGAGCAUUUGAUGAGGACUCCAGUGGUGGUUAUGUUAUUAGAUGUGCACAUGUUCAGGUUAAGCUUGGAAAAAGAAAGAAAAAGUUUACAGUUUUAUGUAUGUUGUUGAUCAUGUAUGGGAUAUUACAGGUUACAGGAGGUAUGUUUGGCUUGCUACGGGUCCCGGCGGCCUUAAGCCGAUCUGGAUCCUAGCGCCGGUAACGGGUCGGAUUUCCGGGUCGUUACAA
RNAcentral lists this long non-coding RNA (549 nucleotides) under Manihot esculenta (cassava). Its description in RNAcentral is "long non-coding RNA (MESC_LNC008202)". The record is from RNAcentral. Lineage: Eukaryota; Viridiplantae; Streptophyta; Magnoliopsida; Malpighiales; Euphorbiaceae.